This 378-nucleotide unclassified non-coding RNA is filed under the name uncultured Actinomycetes bacterium. RNAcentral describes it as "uncultured actinobacterium contains 16S-23S intergenic spacer region". Lineage: Bacteria; Bacillati; Actinomycetota; Actinomycetes. The record is from RNAcentral.
UCCAAGUUGACCCCGGCAGUCUCCUGAGAGUGCCCGGCAUUACCCGGUAGCAACACAGGACAAGGGUUGCGCUCGUUGCGGGACUUAACCCAACAUCUCACGACACGAGCUGACGACAGCCAUGCACCACCUGUGCACCGGCCCCGAAGGGCUGCCGUAUUUCUACGACAUUCCAGUGCAUGUCAAGCCUUGGUAAGGUUCUUCGCGUUGCGUCGAAUUGAACCACAUGCUCCGCUGCUUGUGCGGGCCCCCGUCAAUUCCUUUGAGUUUCAACCUUGCGGUCGUACUCCCCAGGCGGGGCACUUAAUGCGUUAGCUCCGGCACGGGAGGAGUCGACACCUCCCACACCUAGUGCCCAUCGUUUACGGCGUGGACUAC